Molecule: ribosomal RNA, 130 nt
Filed under: Parablennius gattorugine (tompot blenny)
Lineage: Eukaryota; Metazoa; Chordata; Actinopteri; Blenniiformes; Blenniidae
Description: partial 28S ribosomal RNA
Source: RNAcentral
UGAGGUGGGAUCCCGGGCCCUCCGCGGGCCCGGGCGCACCACCGGCCCGUCUCGCCCGCCCCGUCGGGGAGGUGGAGCAUGAGCGCGUGCGAUAGGACCCGAAAGAUGGUGAACUAUGCCUGGGCAGGGC